RNAcentral lists this microRNA (20 nucleotides) under Corchorus olitorius. RNAcentral describes it as "age-miR-5". The record is from RNAcentral. Lineage: Eukaryota; Viridiplantae; Streptophyta; Magnoliopsida; Malvales; Malvaceae.
AUUGACACUUUUUUGAAUAG